This 1116-nucleotide ribosomal RNA is filed under the name Bacillus cereus. RNAcentral's name for it is "bacterial SSU rRNA". It matches the Rfam family "Bacterial small subunit ribosomal RNA", at positions 42 to 1145 of the family's 1533-position model. Lineage: Bacteria; Bacillati; Bacillota; Bacilli; Caryophanales; Bacillaceae. The record is from RNAcentral.
GCGGCUANAAUGCAGUCGAGCGAAUGGAUUAAGAGCUUGCUCUUAUGAAGUUAGCGGCGGACGGGUGAGUAACACGUGGGUAACCUGCCCAUAAGACUGGGAUAACUCCGGGAAACCGGGGCUAAUACCGGAUAACAUUUUGAACCGCAAGGUUCGAAAUUGAAAGGCGGCUUCGGCUGUCACUUAUGGAUGGACCCGCGUCGCAUUAUCUAGUUGGUGAGGUAACGGCUCACCAAGGCGACGAUGCGUAACCGACCUGAGAGGGUGAUCGGCCACACUGGGACUGACACACGGCCCAGACUCCUACGGGAGGCAGCAGUAGGGAAUCUUCCGCAAUGGACGAAAGUCUGACGGAGCAACGCCGCGUGAGUGAUGAAGGCUUUCGGGUCGUAAAACUCUGUUGUUAGGGAAGAACAAGUGCUAGUUGAAUAAGCUGGCACCUUGACGGUACCUAACCAGAAAGCCACGGCUAACUACGUGCCAGCAGCCGCGGUAAUACGUAGGUGGCAAGCGUUAUCCGGAAUUAUUGGGCGUAAAGCGCGCGCAGGUGGUUUCUUAAGUCUGAUGUGAAAGCCCACGGCUCAACCGUGGAGUGUCAUUGGAAACUGGGAGACUUGAGUGCAGAAGAGGAAAGUGGAAUUCCAUGUGUAGCGGUGAAAUGCGUAGAGAUAUGGAGGAACACCAGUGGCGAACGCGACUUUCUGGUCUGUAACUGACACUGACGCGCGAAAGCGUGGGGAGCAAACAGGAUUAGAUACCCUGGUAGUCCACGCCGUACACGAUGAGUGCUAAGUGUUAGAGGGUUUCCGCCCUUUAGUGCUGAAGUUAACGCAUUAAGCACUCCGCCUGGGGAGUACGGCCGCAAGGCUGAAACUCAUAGGAAUUCGACGGGGGCCCGCACAAGCUGUGGAGCAUGUGGUUUAAUUCAAAGCACGCGAAGAACCUUACCANGUCUUGACAUCCUCUGAAACCCUAGAGAUAGGGCUUCUCCUUCGGGAGCAGAGUGACAGUGCUGCAUGGUUUGUCGUCAGCUCGNGUCAUGANAUGUAGGGUUNNGUCCAGCANNNGCAGCANCCCUUGAUCUUAGUUGCCAUCAUCUAGUUGGNCACUCUAAGG